GAGGGUGUGGCUCAGUGGUAGAGUGCAUGCUUAGCAUGCACAAGGUCCUGGGUUCAAUCUCCACUACCUCCA
This 72-nucleotide transfer RNA is filed under the name Camelus bactrianus (Bactrian camel). It matches the Rfam family "tRNA". From Rfam's summary of the family: Transfer RNA (tRNA) molecules are approximately 80 nucleotides in length. Their secondary structure includes four short double-helical elements and three loops (D, anti-codon, and T loops). Further hydrogen bonds mediate the characteristic L-shaped molecular structure. tRNAs have two regions of fundamental functional importance: the anti-codon, which is responsible for specific mRNA codon recognition, and the 3' end, to which the tRNAs corresponding amino acid is attached (by aminoacyl-tRNA synthetases). tRNAs cope with the degeneracy of the genetic code in two manners: having more than one tRNA (with a specific anti-codon) for a particular amino acid; and 'wobble' base-pairing, i.e. permitting non-standard base-pairing at the 3rd anti-codon position. Lineage: Eukaryota; Metazoa; Chordata; Mammalia; Artiodactyla; Camelidae. RNAcentral also lists the same sequence under 3 other names. The record is from Rfam by way of RNAcentral.